GAAAGAAGAUAUGGUCAAACAAUGUCAUCCGAGUGCAGCCAAACUCAUGAUGAAUCAAAUCACAGUUUUACGUCCACCUCAAAUCAAAAUCAAAAUCAAAAGGAAGCUACAGAGAGUGCAUGUAGGGACAGGUUUGCCAGGGGAAGUGGCAUUCCCAUCUCUAUUAAGUUCAAGAAGUUGGUCAAUGAUGGAACAAUGUGCAGACAACAAGAAAAACAGAGAUUGGAUAGAUUCCAGCAUGAGUUGGAAAAAACCAUGACGGAACCGCCCCCUAUAGAGAUCGGUCCAAAGCGUCUUAAAGUCCGAGGCCCAUCAUUUCUUGGGUAAGAGAACAAGAAUUGACUUUUGGAUAACAUGAUAGGUGAAGAAACUGGUUGGCCUGCCUCUGGA
Molecule: unclassified non-coding RNA, 390 nt
Filed under: Hevea brasiliensis (rubber tree)
Lineage: Eukaryota; Viridiplantae; Streptophyta; Magnoliopsida; Malpighiales; Euphorbiaceae
Source: RNAcentral